RNAcentral lists this ribosomal RNA (488 nucleotides) under uncultured bacterium. RNAcentral's name for it is "partial 16S ribosomal RNA". It matches the Rfam family "Bacterial small subunit ribosomal RNA", at positions 28 to 507 of the family's 1533-position model. The record is from RNAcentral.
GAUGAACGCUAGCGGCAGGCUUAACACAUGCAAGUCGAGGGGCAGCAUAAUGGAUAGCAAUAUCUAUGGUGGCGACCGGCGCACGGGUGCGUAACGCGUAUGCAACCUACCUUUAACAGGGGGAUAACACUGAGAAAUUGGUACUAAUACCCCAUAAUAUCAUAGAAGGCAUCUUUUAUGGUUGAAAAUUCCGAUGGUUAGAGAUGGGCAUGCGUUGUAUUAGCUAGUUGGUGGGGUAACGGCUCACCAAGGCGACGAUACAUAGGGGGACUGAGAGGUUAACCCCCCACACUGGUACUGAGACACGGACCAGACUCCUACGGGAGGCAGCAGUGAGGAAUAUUGGUCAAUGGACGCAAGUCUGAACCAGCCAUGCCGCGUGCAGGAUGACGGCUCUAUGAGUUGUAAACUGCUUUUGUACGAGGGUAAACGCAGAUACGUGUAUCUGUCUGAAAGUACCGUACGAAUAAGGAUCGGCUAACUCCGUG